UACAGAGACUGCAAGCGUUAUUCGGAUUCACUGGGCGUAAAGGGUGCGCAGGCGGCCAAGUGUGUGAGGCGUGAAAGCCUGGGGCUUAACCCCAGAAUUGCACCUCAAACUACGUGGCUAGAGCAUUGGAGAGGGUAGCAGAAUUCAUGGUGUAGCAGUGAAAUGCGUAGAUAUCAUGAGGAAUACCAGAGGCGAAGGCGGCUACCUGGACAAUUGCUGACGCUCAGGCACGAAAGCGUGGGGAGCAAAAGGG
Molecule: ribosomal RNA, 253 nt
Filed under: uncultured bacterium
Lineage: Bacteria
Description: partial 16S ribosomal RNA
Rfam family: Bacterial small subunit ribosomal RNA
Source: RNAcentral